AGGUUGUAAUGUGCGUGACUGCAUCAGGCAUCGCCCUGGCCAACCCGAAAUCCGUGAUUCUAGCCUCCAUAUCGUCGUCAAGAAGAACAUUAGCCGGCUUCAAGUCUCUGUGGAUGAUUCUAGGUUUACUUUCCAUGUGAAGAUACUCAAGCCCCGCAGCUAUACCUAAAGCAAGCUUGUGCCUUGCUGGCCACGUUAGCUCUUUGUUUCCACCUGAAACCUCGGUUAGUAUAUCUUGCAAACUCCCGUUCUUCAUGUACUCGUAGACAAGGAAGUGACACUCGAGUCUCGGGACGUGUGCUAGCAACGGGAGAAGAUUCCGGUGCCGGAUAUGACCUACUGUGAUGAUCUCUGACCUGAUUUGCAUCAUGUACCUGUUCAGAAACCUGGACUCUUCGUCUAUAAGCUCGGUUGCGCUUUUACAGGGUUGUGUCACUCUCUUGACGGCUAUGAUCUUCCCGUUGCUUCCUGGUAGUUUGGCUUUGAAAACUUCUCCGCAGCCUCCUUUGCCGAUGAGCUUAAGAGAGGCUAAUGAUUCUUCGUUCUCCAAGAAAGCUAAGUCUUCGGCUCUCUUGAUCAAAAGGCUGAAUAUAGUAGGACUUAAUGGUUUUUCUGGUCCUCUUCUUGCUUUGAGGAUCAAUCUGAAGAUCACUCCGGAGAUGAUUCCGCCUAUGCCUACGACGACUAUUACCACUUGGAGGAUAGUACCUCACUUCAUAACCUUCACUUCUUCACAGCAUAGUAGAGAUAUCUUGUAUGAUGGGUUGUAGCAGUGGACAGAACUACUUACCUAUGGGUGGAAAUAAGAGAAGAGUAAACUAGGUUAAAAUCGUCAUACAAAUAUUAAUGUCAACUCGGAUGUAAAGACCUAAUUAGAGACUAGUUUAUGGUAUAGAAGCCAAUUAUCUCAAAACUUAAUUAAUUGACAUUGUUUGUCCAUCUCACUACAAGUUUAUGCAUCUCAACACGUGUUGACUCAGUUUUUCUUAUUUUCUGGUGUGAAGACAUGAAGGCAGUCAUGAACAGCUAAAAAAUCUGAGGGAGAUUCUCAAACGGCUGCUUAUAGAGAAGACAAAACGUUUCUUUGUCUAGAUAGCUAAGCUUAUUGUAUCAGAUUAAUGGUUUAUGUUUAAUAAAACAAGAUUAAAAUCCAUUUUAAUUAUACAUCUUCAUCACAAGCUUCUGCCAAGCGAACACUAUAGCAUUUACGUGUAAUUAUUUCAUACGACAGGGAAUGUAAACUACAUAUCAUAGAGAGACACUAGCUAGUGCUUGAUCUGGGACAGCAUAGUCUUGACAUCUCUGCUGUUCGGUCUCUGUUUAGGAUCAUCCAAAGUACAGUAACAAGCAAUCUUCAGAACAAGAAGCAUCUGUUCAUCGAACCCUUGUUCCAUCAGCUUCGGAUCAAUAGCUAGGCUUGGAUUCUCCGAUGUUAGUACCUUCCUCAUCCACUUUAUAAGACUCAUCCCAUCGGUACGAUGGAAAAACUCAUCGGAAGGAAGCUUCCCAAUCACCAGAACCCCAAGAAUCACCCCAAAGCUAUAGAUGUCACACUUGUCCGUAAACUUGAGAGUUUGAUGAUACUCUGGUGCUAUGUAUCCCACGGUACCUGAAAGCUUAGAGGUUGUAAUGUGCGUGACUGCAUCAGGCAUCGCCCUGGCCAACCCGAAAUCCGUGAUUCUAGCCUCCAUAUCGUCGUCAAGAAGAACAUUAGCCGGCUUCAAGUCUCUGUGGAUGAUUCUAGGUUUACUUUCCAUGUGAAGAUACUCAAGCCCCGCAGCUAUACCUAAAGCAAGCUUGUGCCUUGCUGGCCACGUUAGCUCUUUGUUUCCACCUGAAACCUCGGUUAGUAUAUCUUGCAAACUCCCG
Molecule: long non-coding RNA, 1869 nt
Filed under: Brassica napus (rape)
Lineage: Eukaryota; Viridiplantae; Streptophyta; Magnoliopsida; Brassicales; Brassicaceae
Description: long non-coding RNA (BNAP_LNC016449)
Source: RNAcentral